AAGUCGUAACAAGGUUUCCGUAGGUGAACCUGCGGAAGGAUCAUUAACACGUAUCCAACGUUAAACCCCCCUGUGAACCUUCAUUGUGAGGGUGAAUGCUCUGCUUGUUGGUGUCUGAAAGUGUCACUAACUCUGUACGAAUGGCGCAGUCACGUUCACUGGAGGCCGACACGGCCGGCGACCGGGUCCCUGAGCUCUGCUCCCUAAUAACCUUUGCAUGAAAACGGGCCUGCGCUUAAUUGUGCGGCCACCAAACUCGAACAACUGUUAACAAUGGAUGGUUCUC
Molecule: unclassified non-coding RNA, 286 nt
Filed under: fungal sp.
Lineage: Eukaryota; Fungi
Description: partial internal transcribed spacer region
Rfam family: Eukaryotic small subunit ribosomal RNA (bases 1-46)
Source: RNAcentral